Molecule: long non-coding RNA, 863 nt
Organism: Temnothorax curvispinosus
Lineage: Eukaryota; Metazoa; Arthropoda; Insecta; Hymenoptera; Formicidae
Exons: 4
Source: RefSeq, a predicted model, not a curated record
AUUUCUUCCGAGGUAGUGCAUGGGUAGCGUUAGCGUUUGCGGAUGUUCAGGGAGACGCUAUCAGCGCCUGUGGAACUGUUUGGGGACGUUCUGUGCUCACGUGAAGGUUAUGUGUGCACGUUGUAAACCAUGAACGUGUUCGGCCAGUAUUUUCUUACAGUAAAUCGAACAUAAGUUCUUCUUCUUUCUGUUGGUUGGCUCGGAGACUGUCCUGUCCCAUGCGGCCAAGAAACAUAAGUUAAUCGAACGGAUUGAAUGUUAGACAAGGGAACGUAAGUUAAUCCUCAGGAAAUUAACGGUCUCUCCCAAUUUAUGGAGGGGAAUCGAGAACAAUUUUUAUUGUUAUUAGCGUUACAAAUACGCGAACAAAUAGCAGAUGUAUCAUCGAGUGAUAGUGAUAAUGAGGAAUUCGUAAUGUUAGAAACUGUAUUACGUACUAGAAGAAAAAUACCCAGAGUACCGUAUUAUGUUGAAACAAUAGUGCCGACAAUGACAAAUCAAGAUUUCAAGUCUCACUUCAGAAUGCGUCCUGGAACUUUUGAAUACUUGCUGUCCAUCAUUGGUCCUAAAUUACAAAGAGAAACAGGAGGAACGCCAAUGAUUUCUCCACAUAAACAAUGUUUAUUGGCAUUGUGGAGACUGGCCACUCCAGAUUCUUUGAGGUAAAGAAUAAGCUUAUUAAGCAUAGAGUUCUGCAUAAUCAACGAUAUCAGUAGGUCUAUUCUCAUAACUCAUAACGACAGUUCAUUAUUGUUACAAUAUCGUUGUGCAGUAUUUUUACUAUGUGAAAAAGUUGCGCAACAACAUUAUAACGAUGACGAACUGUCAGUAAGAGUUACAGAAUGGGCCUACAGUUGUCGCAA